Molecule: ribosomal RNA, 490 nt
Filed under: uncultured bacterium
Lineage: Bacteria
Description: partial 16S ribosomal RNA
Rfam family: Bacterial small subunit ribosomal RNA
Source: RNAcentral
AUUGAACGCUGGCGGCAGGCUUAACACAUGCAAGUCGAACGGUAACAGGAAGCAGCUUGCUGCUUCGCUGACGAGUGGCGGACGGGUGAGUAAUGUCUGGGAAGCUGCCUGAUGGAGGGGGAUAACUACUGGAAACGGUAGCUAAUACCGCAUAAUGUCGCAAGACCAAAGAGGGGGACCUUCGGGCCUCUUGCCAUCGGAUGUGCCCAGAUGGGAUUAGCUUGUUGGUGGGGUAACGGCUCACCAAGGCGACGAUCCCUAGCUGGUCUGAGAGGAUGACCAGCCACACUGGAACUUAGACACGGUCCAGACUCCUACGGGAGGCAGCAGUGGGGAAUAUUGCACAAUGGGCGCAAGCCUGAUGCAGCCAUGCCGCGUGUAUGAAGAAGGCCUUCGGGUUGUAAAGUACUUUCAGCGGGGAGGAAGGGAGUAAAGUUAAUACCUUUGCUCAUUGACGUUACCCGCAGAAGAAGCACCGGCUAACUCCGUG